UUCGAUGAUACGCGAGGAACCUUACCUGGGCUCAAAUGUAUGUUGACGUAUUCUGAAAGGGAUACUUCUUCGGACAAUAUACAAGGUGCUGCAUGGUUGUCGUCAGCUCGUGCCGUGAGGUGUCGGGUUAAGUCCCAUAACGAGCGCAACCCUAUCAUUAGUUGCCAUCAGGUCAAGCUGGGGACUCUAAUGAAACUGCCUACGCAAGUAGUGAGGAAGGUGGGGAUGACGUCAAAUCAGCACGGCCCUUACGUCCAGGGCUACACACGUGCUACAAUGGCCGGUACAAAGGGCAGCUACCUGGUGACAGGAUGCUAAUCUCAAAAGCCGGUCUCAGUUCGGAUCGGAGUCUGCAACCCGACUCCGUGAAGCUGGAUUCGCUAGUAAUCGCGCAUCAGCCACGGCGCGGUGAAUACGUUCCCGGGCCUU
Molecule: ribosomal RNA, 429 nt
Filed under: uncultured Sphingobacteriales bacterium
Lineage: Bacteria; Pseudomonadati; Bacteroidota; Sphingobacteriia; Sphingobacteriales
Description: bacterial SSU rRNA
Rfam family: Bacterial small subunit ribosomal RNA
Source: RNAcentral